RNAcentral lists this unclassified non-coding RNA (352 nucleotides) under soil metagenome. RNAcentral's name for it is "partial contains 5.8S ribosomal RNA, internal transcribed spacer 2, and large subunit ribosomal RNA". The stretch from base 1 to 120 matches the Rfam family "5.8S ribosomal RNA", at positions 35 to 154 of the family's 154-position model. The record is from RNAcentral.
GAUGAAGAACGCAGUGAAAUGCGAUAAGUAGUGUGAAUUGCAGACUUUAGUGAAUCAUCGAAUCUUUGAACGCACAUUGCGCCCGCCAGUAUUCUGGCGGGCAUGCCUGUUCGAGCGUCAUUACAACCCUCAGGCCCCCGGGCCUGGCGUUGGGGAUCGGCGGAGCCCCCCGUGGGCACACGCCGUCCCCCAAAUACAGUGGCGGUCCCGCCGCAGCUUCCAUCGCGUAGUAGCUAACACCUCGCGACUGGAGAGCGGCGCGGCCACGCCGUAAAACACCCAACUCUUCUGAAGUUGACCUCGAAUCAGGUAGGAAUACCCGCUGAACUUAAGCAUAUCAAUAAGCGGAGGA